CUACGUGCCAGCAGCCGCGGUAAUACGGAAGGUCCAGGCGUUAUCCGGAUUUAUUGGGUUUAAAGGGAGCGUAGGCCGGAGAUUAAGUGUGUCGUGAAAUGUAGACGCUCAACGUCUGACUUGCAGCGCAUACUGGUUUCCUUGAGUACGCACAACGUUGGCGGAAUUCGUCGUGUAGCGGUGAAAUGCUUAGAUAUGACGAAGAACUCCGAUUGCGAAGGCAGCUGACGGGAGCGCAACUGACGCUGAAGCUCGAAGGUGCGGGUAUCGAACAGGAUUAGAUACCCUGGUAGUCCGCMCAGUAAACGAUGGAUGCCCGCUGUUGGUACCUGGUAUCAGCGGCUAAGCGAAAGCAUUAAGCAUCCCACCUGGGGAGUACGCCGGCAACGGUGAAACUCAAAGGAAUUGACGGGGGCCCGCACAAGCGGAGGAACAUGUGGUUUAAUUCGAUGAUACGCGAGGAACCUUACCCGGGCU
This 477-nucleotide ribosomal RNA is filed under the name uncultured bacterium. Its description in RNAcentral is "bacterial SSU rRNA". It matches the Rfam family "Bacterial small subunit ribosomal RNA", at positions 501 to 981 of the family's 1533-position model. The record is from RNAcentral.